RNAcentral lists this ribosomal RNA (496 nucleotides) under uncultured bacterium. Its description in RNAcentral is "partial 16S ribosomal RNA". It matches the Rfam family "Bacterial small subunit ribosomal RNA", at positions 29 to 507 of the family's 1533-position model. The record is from RNAcentral.
AUGAACGCUGGCGGCGUGCCUAAUACAUGCAAGUCGAGCGAACGGAUGAGAAGCUUGCUUCUCUGAUGUUAGCGGCGGACGGGUGAGUAACACGUGGAUAACCUACCUAUAAGACUGGGAUAACUUCGGGAAACCGGAGCUAAUACCGGAUGAUAUUUUGAACCGCAUGGUUCAAAAGUGAAAGACGGUCUUGCUGUCACUUAUAGAUGGAUCCGCGCUGCAUUAGCUAGUUGGUAAGGUAACGGCUUACCAAGGAAACGAUGCAUAGCCGACCUGAGAGGGUGAUCGGCCACACUGGAACUGAGACACGGUCCAGACUCCUACGGGAGGCAGCAGUAGGGAAUCUUCCGCAAUGGGCGAAAGCCUGACGGAGCAACGCCGCGUGAGUGAUGAAGGUCUUCGGAUCGUAAAACUCUGUUAUUAGGGAAGAACAUAUGUGUAAGUAACUGUGCACAUCUUGACGGUACCUAAUCAGAAAGCCACGGCUAACUACGUG